CAGAAGACGACUGUGAAGAGUUCAUCAUGGUCUCUCCUCUUGGAUUUCUGAUCCUCUUUUCAGUUCUUGCAGCGAAAAGUUACGCUCUCUCGUGCACAAGUUGUUAUUCUGCUUCUUCCACUACAUGCUCAGGUGAUAUCGUGACUUGCCCUUCUGGUUUUCAGUGUGGAUCGACAUAUGAAGAGUCCAUCAUUGUAUUAUCCAGCAGUUCUGAGACCA
This is a long non-coding RNA of Bufo bufo (common toad), 219 nucleotides long. RefSeq lists it as uncharacterized. The record is from RefSeq and is a predicted model, not a curated record. The transcript is spliced from 3 exons. NCBI's taxonomy places the organism in Eukaryota, Metazoa, Chordata, Amphibia, Anura, Bufonidae.